This 387-nucleotide ribosomal RNA is filed under the name uncultured bacterium. Its description in RNAcentral is "bacterial SSU rRNA". It matches the Rfam family "Bacterial small subunit ribosomal RNA", at positions 29 to 437 of the family's 1533-position model. The record is from RNAcentral.
AACGAACGCUGGCGGCAUGCCUAACACAUGCAAGUCGAACGGGAUCCUAGCUUGCUAGGUGAGAGUGGCGGACGGGUGAGUAACACGUGGGAAUCUGCCUUUUUGGUUCGGGAUAACCGCGGGAAACUGCGGCUAAUACCGAAUGCCCUCGAGAGAGGAAAGAUUUAUCGCCAGAAGAGGAGCCCGCGUCCGAUUAGGUAGUUGGUGGGGUAAAGCCUACCAAGCCGACGAUCGGUAGCUGGUCUGAGAGGAUGAUCAGCCACACUGGGACUGAGAUACGGCCCAGACUCCUACGGGAGCAGCAGUGGGGAAUAUUGGACAAUGGGGCAACCCUGAUCCAGCAAUGCCGCGUGAGUGAUGAAGGCCUUAGGGUUGUAAAGCUCUUUU